CUAAGAGAGAGGCACGUGAGGUUCUCGGUGGACCGAUCACAGACUCAGGGAGAGACACAGAGAGCAUCCUCAGUCAGCCCUGCCCUCCCCAAGCUUGCACUUCCUGUCCUCCUCUGGGCUGACCGAGCGUUCCCGGACAGGGCUCCUCUGAACAUCUCGAUCAAUAAGAGAAGUGGCCGAAGAGGCAGAUGAGGCCGGGCUGGUGACGAGCCACAAGGCACAGUGCUUAAAUAAUUCCUUAACUUUCACUACGGCCUUUGAGGAGGGUUUUAUCAUCCCCAUUUUAUGGAUGGACAAUAUGAGGCUGAGAGGGCUGCGCUAUCCCCCCAGGGCUCCCUGGGGGAGAGCUGGGGGGGAAAGGGUGGGGAGAGAGCUGCCCUCCUACCGCUUCCCGGACGUCAGGCUCCGUCGUGAGGAGCACUUCCCAUACAGCAGCUCCCUGACCCUGAGGGCUGUGGCAGCCCAGAGGCGGCAGGAACCCGUCCAAGGUCGCACCGCGAAUGGAUGACAGAGGCUGGGCCCACGCCCUCCAACUCGGCCUGAGUAUGUCUCCAGCUCUGAGACGUGGUAACUGAAGGCUCAGAAAGGGAAAGAGACCUUCUCAUAGUCACAAAGCAGUACAACGUGACCAUCUGCUUUCGUGGUGGGGGUGCGGACGCCUGCUGAGCACGGAAACAAAUCAACCCAAAUGCAAACACAGUUAGCAGCAGAAGGGAUUCCGGAAUGUCAGCAUGGGAAGAGCACACGUGCAGGAUCAGACCGCUCUGGAUUCAAAGCCUGGCCCUGCCACUUCCUGGCUAUGUGACCUUGGACAAGAUAUAUGGGCAGACUGCGGUUCAUUGAGUCAGGAGAGGGUGUGAAAGGGCUGGCUCAGGGGCUCCUAACCGGUUUUUGUGCCGUGGCCCCUUUGGCAAUCUGGUGAAACCUUUGGACUCCUCCUCGGAACAUGUUUUUAAUGCAUAAAAUAAAAUAUGUAGUAUU
Molecule: long non-coding RNA, 981 nt
Organism: Suricata suricatta (meerkat)
Lineage: Eukaryota; Metazoa; Chordata; Mammalia; Carnivora; Herpestidae
Exons: 5
Source: RefSeq, a predicted model, not a curated record